GACAGAGGGUGCAAACGUUGCUCGGAAUUACUGGGCGUAAAGCGCGUGUAGGCGGACCACCAAGUCGGACGUGAAAGCCCUGAGCUCAACUCAGGAACUGCAUCCGAAACUGGCGGUCUGGAGUAGUGGAGAGGAAAGCAGAAUUCCUGGUGUAGAGGUGAAAUUCGUAGAUAUCAGGAGGAACACCGGUGGCGAAGGCGGCUUUCUGGACACUUACUGACGCUCAUGCACGAAAGCGUGGGGAGCAAACAGG
This 253-nucleotide ribosomal RNA is filed under the name uncultured bacterium. Its description in RNAcentral is "partial 16S ribosomal RNA". It matches the Rfam family "Bacterial small subunit ribosomal RNA", at positions 524 to 776 of the family's 1533-position model. The record is from RNAcentral.